Molecule: ribosomal RNA, 451 nt
Filed under: Lancefieldella rimae
Lineage: Bacteria; Bacillati; Actinomycetota; Coriobacteriia; Coriobacteriales; Atopobiaceae
Description: bacterial SSU rRNA
Rfam family: Bacterial small subunit ribosomal RNA
Source: RNAcentral
GAUGAACGCUGGCGGCGCGCCUAACACAUGCAAGUCGAACGGUUAAAGCACCUUUUAGGUGUGUAUAAAGUGGCGAACGGCUGAGUAACACGUGGGCAACCUGCCCUCCUCUUGGGGAUAGCCUCGGGAAACCGAGGAUAAUACCCGAUACUUCAAUGUGGCCGCAUGACGACAUUGAGAAAGCUUUUGCGGAGAAGGAUGGGCCCGCGGCCUGUUAGCUUGUUGGUGGGGUAGAGGCCUACCAAGGCAAUGAUGGGUAGCUGGGUUGAGAGACCGACCAGCCAGAUUGGGACUGAGACACGGCCCAGACUCCUACGGGAGGCAGCAGUGGGGAAUCUUGCACAAUGGGCGAAAGCCUGAUGCAGCGACGCCGCGUGCGGGACGAAGGCCUUUCGGGUUGUAAACCGCUUUUCAGCAGGGACGAGGCGAAAGUGACGGUACCUGCAGAAGA